RNAcentral lists this ribosomal RNA (123 nucleotides) under Verruconis gallopava. The record is from RNAcentral. Lineage: Eukaryota; Fungi; Ascomycota; Dothideomycetes; Venturiales; Sympoventuriaceae.
ACAUACGGUCAUAGAAUGAGGAAAACUAGAGUCCCCGUCCGCUCACUCCUAUAUAAGCCUCAUAUCGGCCCAUUAGUACUAUGGUGGGUGACCACAUGGGAAUCCGGCGCUGCUGUAUGUUUU